CCCUUAGAUGUUCUGGGCCGCACGCGUGCUACACUGAACGGUUCAAUGGGUAAGGUAGUGCGAAAGCAUGACCUAAUCUCGAAAUCCGUUCGUGCUGGGGAUAGAAGCUUGCAAUUAUCCUUCUUGAACGAGGAAUACCUUGUAAGCGUGAGUCAUCAUCUCACGCUGAAUACGUCCCUGCCCUUUGUACACACCGCCCGUCGCUCCUACCGAUUGAGUGUUCCGGUGAGGCUUUGGGAGAAUGGCCUCAGCAUGAGUUUAUCGUGUUUUGCCGUUUGAACUUAGUCAAACCUUAUCACUUAGAGGAAGGAGAAGUCGUAACA
Molecule: ribosomal RNA, 323 nt
Filed under: uncultured eukaryote
Lineage: Eukaryota
Description: partial 18S ribosomal RNA
Rfam family: Eukaryotic small subunit ribosomal RNA
Source: RNAcentral